CCUACGGGGGGCUGCAGUGAGGAAUAUUGGUCAAUGGACGGGAGUCUGAACCAGCCACGUAGCGUGAAGGAUGAAUGCCCUAUGGGUUGUAAACUUCUUUUAUAAAGGAGUAAAACGCGGCACGUGUGCCUUUUUGCAUGUACUUUUUGAAUAAGGAUCGGCUAACUCCGUGCCAGCCGCCGCGGUAAUACGGAGGAUCCGAGCGUUAUCCGGAUUUAUUGGGUUUAAAGGGUGCGUAGGCGGCCUUUUAAGUCAGCGGUGAAAGUCUGGGGCCCAACCAUAGAAGUGCCGUUGAAACUGGGAGGCUUGAGUAUGUUUGAGGCAGGCGGAAUGCGUGGUGUAGCGGUGAAAUGCUUAGAUAUCACGCAGAACCCCGAUUGCGAAGGCAGCCUGCCAAGCCAUGACUGACGCUGAUGCACGAAAGCGUGGGGAUCAAACAGGAUUAGAUACCCGUGUAGUC
This 460-nucleotide ribosomal RNA is filed under the name uncultured bacterium. RNAcentral describes it as "partial 16S ribosomal RNA". It matches the Rfam family "Bacterial small subunit ribosomal RNA", at positions 338 to 795 of the family's 1533-position model. The record is from RNAcentral.